RNAcentral lists this long non-coding RNA (3191 nucleotides) under Prunus persica (peach). RNAcentral describes it as "long non-coding RNA (PPER_LNC000121)". The record is from RNAcentral. Lineage: Eukaryota; Viridiplantae; Streptophyta; Magnoliopsida; Rosales; Rosaceae.
AAAUAUUUAGAGUAAAGAUGGGUUCCAAGGAAGCAGUAGCCAGCAGCAAGCCUCAUGCUGUUUGCAUUCCUCUUCCGGUUCAAAGCCAUGUAAAGGGGAUGCUUAAGUUUGCAAAACUCCUCCACCACAGAGGUUUCCAUAUCACCUUUGUCAACACAGAGUACAUUCACAAGCGCUUCCUCAAGUCUCUUGGACCCAACUCCCUCGACGGCUUGCCUAGUUUUCGAUUCGAAUCCAUACCAGACGGCAUUCCAAGCUCAGAAGAAGACACCACUCAAUACAUUCGUUUGCUUGGUGAGUCAGUCACGAAUUAUUUACCGGCUCCAUUUCGUGAUCUCCUCAUGAAACUCAAUGGCACGGCCAAUAUUCCUCCGUUGUCUCACAUGGUUUCGGAUGGUUGGAUGAGCUUCACCAUCACAGCAGCUGAAGAAAUUGGAAUCCCUGUGGUACUCUUCUUCACUAUGUCUGCAAGCGGCGUCAUGGGAUAUAAGCAGUUUCCUACUUUGCUGGAAAAGGGACUUGCUCCACUCAAAGGUAAAACAAAAGAGAGAUUAUUUCAACAAACUUUAUUAAAACGACAAGUAUAAGUACCAAAUCAAACUUUAUUUCAACAACUUACAAAUUGUAUUGGAAACCUUGUCUAUUUUCUCAUUAUUGUUGAGGACAUGUGAGGUACAUAUAAAAGCUUACUUUUCUUGACUUGGGUAUUUGCAGAUGAAACCUGGUUAACAAAUGGCUUUCUUGACAAUGUCAUAGAUUGGGUUCCAGCUAUGAAAGGUAUCAGGUUAAGGGAUCUCCCAAACAACUUUAUUACCACAGACCCUGCCGAAGCAUCUUGGAUCUUCUGCUUGGAAGCAAUCCAAAGAUUUGGUAAAGGUACAGCAAUUGUUCUUCAUAGUUUUGAUGCAUUGGAGAAAGAAGUUUUGGAUGCUCUCUCAUCCAUGUUUCCACUUGUUUAUGCAAUUGGCCCUCUCCAGUUACUUCUUAACCAGGUACCGGAGCACCCUUUGAAGGCUAUGGGGUAUAGUCUGUGGAAAGAAGGAACUGAGUGGCUCAAAUGGCUAAAUUCUAAGGAACCAAACUCUGUUGUUUAUGUCAAUUUUGGAAGUUUAGCGGUCUUAACACCAGAACAGCUUGUGGAGUUUGGUUGGGGACUGGCAAACAGCAAGCUUCCCUUCUUUUGGGUAAUUAGGCCUGAUCUGGUUGUUGGUAAAUCGGCGAUUUUUCCACCCGAGUUUGAGGCUGAAACUAAGGAAAGAGGCCUUAUAGCAAGUUGGUGCCCACAAGAGCAAGUCCUUGAGCACUCAUCAGUUGGAGGAUUUUUAACACAUAGUGGUUGGAAUUCAACCAUUGAGAGCCUAUGUGCAGGUGUGCCUAUGCUCUCCUUGCCAAUCUUUACUGACCAGCAAACGAAUUGUCAUUGUGUUUGUAAUUUGUGGGGAAUUGGCAUGGAGAUUAGUAAAGAUGCCAAGAGAGACCAAGUGGAAAAGCUUGUUAAAGAGUUGAUGGGGGGAGAGAAAGGUAAGCAAUUGAAAAACAAGGUCAUGGAGUGGAAGAAACUGGCAGAAGAAGCCGCUAGUCCACAUGGUUCUUCAUCUGCAAAUUUAGACAACUUUGUGAAUCAAGUACUAUUAAGGAAAAGCUAGAUGUUACAUGUGUACGGAAUGUCUUUAAUUAUCUUGUCGAUGAUAUAUCUUCGUGUUCUUCAAAACUUUUAAUAAAAUUUUCUUGAAAUUAAAUUACGAGAAAACGUGUCCAAGGUAAUUUUGUAUGUAUGAUUUGUGGGGUACAAUCUAUAUGUGUAUCAUGUAUAAAGAAAUUCCUGUGAUUUGAUGUCCAAUUAAUCUUGAAUAGGAAAUGAAGUUUGGUCACAGGUGCUUGUACAAAUUGAGACCACAAGAAGUGUUUAUAUAAGUUCGAUUGUGGGAGGAUAUCAGUUGUGUAUGAUGCUGGAUGAGGACUGAAGGACUGAAGAAGUGGGUUAGGCAACUGGCAGACACAUUCGAACCAAAGACAGGACAUUAACAUCAUGAUAAAUAAUUAUAUGUAUUGAGUCCCGUUUUGUUUGAGGGAUCCCUCAAGUAAUGUUACUCAUGUCCUGCCUUGAAAUUUCUUCUUUAAGGUAUUCCAUGCUGCCCUUGCAGUUGUGGCUCCCAUGAUUCUUGGAAAAAGCGUAUCAUGCAAGGCUUGUUAUAAGGCCUUUGCAUCUUUUUGUUGAUUUUUCUUCAGUUGCCUCAACUGUUCUACGGUUGAAUUUUCUAGAUUAUUGAAACCAUUAUCAACUAUGUCCCAUAAAUCUUGAGACAUAAAAUAGGUCUUCAUUUUAAUACUCCAGAAGUUAUAGUUUUCUUCCGUGAAAAUAGGAAGAGGGUCAGAGUUUUAGCUAGUGGUUGACAUAUUGGUGGAUGACUAGUGAACCAAUGCCCAAAGUUGAUCAGAACAAGCUCUGAUACCACUGUUGGGUAAAUACAUAAUUGGACUGCUAGCUAUAUAUAUAGAGUAGCUAAGUCGGCAGCUUGCUUUGGAAAAGUCGGUUGCUCAUGCAAAUAACUUUUCCAAAGUCAUUUUCAGCCACAAUUGUUCUCCUUAUUCUAGAUUUCUAUAGUCAUAGUAUAUGGAUAUUUCUAGUGAUUUUAACUUGUUUAUUUUCUGUUGACCCAAAAACAAAACAAAAACUUAUCCACUUUCUCUCAAAUUUUCUAAAUUUUUCUAUAUUAUUCAAGACCUUUCUAUAUUAUUCUAGUACAAGUGUGCAUUAUUUGGUUAACACAGUCAUUGGCAUGAUAGCCACACAAAAACAAUCUUUUCGUUUUGGGUAAAACCCACACAAAAGAUGUUGCCAACCCUAUAAAACUCUGCAUUUAUGAGAGUGCAAAUACAUACACAAAAUACACAAAACAAAUAUUUAGAGUAGAGAUGGGUUCCAAGGAAGCAGUAGCCAACAGCAAGCCUCAUGUUGUUUGCAUUCCUGUUCCAGUUCAAAGCCAUGUAAAGGGGAUGCUUAAGUUUGCAAAACUCCUCCACCACAGAGGUUUCCAUAUCACCUUUGUCAACACCGAGUACAUUCACAAGCGCUUCCUCAAGUCUCUUGGACCCAACUCCCUCGAAGGCUUGCCUAAUUUUCGAUUUGAAACCAUACCAGACGGCAUUCCAAGCUCAGAAGACACCACUCAAUACAUUCGUUUGCUUGG